RNAcentral lists this ribosomal RNA (497 nucleotides) under uncultured bacterium. RNAcentral describes it as "partial 16S ribosomal RNA". It matches the Rfam family "Bacterial small subunit ribosomal RNA", at positions 28 to 507 of the family's 1533-position model. The record is from RNAcentral.
GAUGAACGCUGGCGGCGUGCCUAAUACAUGCAAGUCGAGCGAACAGACGAGGAGCUUGCUCCUCUGACGUUAGCGGCGGGCGGGUGAGUAACACGUGGAUAACCUACCUAUAAGACUGGGAUAACUUCGGGAAACCGGAGCUAAUACCGGAUAAUAUAUUGAACCGCAUGGUUCAAUAGUGAAAGAUGGUUUUGCUGUCACUUAUAGAUGGAUCCGCGCCGCAUUAGCUAGUUGGUAAGGUAACGGCUUACCAAGGCGACGAUGCGUAGCCGACCUGAGAGGGUGAUCGGCCACACUGGAACUGAGACACGGUCCAGACUCCUACGGGAGGCAGCAGUAGGGAAUCUUCCGCAAUGGGCGAAAGCCUGACGGAGCAACGCCGCGUGAGUGAUGAAGGUCUUCGGAUCGUAAAACUCUGUUAUUAGGGAAGAACAAAUGUGUAAGUAACUAUGCACGUCUUGACGGUACCUAAUCAGAAAGCCACGGCUAACUACGUG